Miniopterus natalensis is the source of this 2858-nucleotide non-coding RNA. The record is from RefSeq and is a predicted model, not a curated record. NCBI's taxonomy places the organism in Eukaryota, Metazoa, Chordata, Mammalia, Chiroptera, Miniopteridae.
CCGCCGCCGCUGCCCGAACCGGGGGCGCCCGCAGGAGGAGGCGAAGUAGUCCCUGGCGACUUCUCCCGGCAGCCGGCUUCCCCCCCCGGGGGGCAACGUGAGCACGGGGUGGGGUUGCAGAGCAGGGCGCCCGGGCUGUGAGCGCGUGCGGGUAGGAGGACCAGAAGCUGCGGCCUCCGAGCGAAUCACUGCAACUCGAAGUCGUGUGCAGCAUAGCAAGUUUCAGGAAAGUAGUUCCCUCCUCCCUUCAUUUCCCAAAUCGUUGUCGAGCCACUGAGCGGGGAAAGGGAGGAGGGAGGCGGAGGGAUAUGCCAGGCGCGGCGCUCGGUGUGCGUGCGCGCGCUCCAAACUCUUGGCACGCUGCGAAAGGGGGCGGGGGUGUGAGCUGCACAGGGAGCUGCUCGCGAGGUUGCAUUGUUGCGGCGCGGUCCUCCCCCGUUACUCGCUUUGGAAUAUCCGGGUUAUUUGAACCAAGACGCUAGAGUGACAGUGUGCUCUAGGAGGACGUCGGAGGCUACUCUGUCCUGCCGUGUGUGUGCGUGUGUGUGUGUGUGUUCUCCUUGCAGAGCAAAGAAUGGAACUGGCAUGAGUUCAUCUUUAGUUGGUGGGGGUUAGAAGAGGGGCUGUACGGAGAGAGCUCCGCCUGCUGUCCUCGGCUUGCAUUGCUGCAGUGUCCUAGCUGCAUGCACACGGGUGUGUGUGUGUGUGUGUGUGUGUGUGUGUGUGCGCGCGCGCGCGCGCGCACGUGCGUGAGAGAGAGAAAGAGUUGGUUUUAAUACCUUGGAUUCUUACUGCUCAAGGGGUAUGCUGUGCAGGGCAUUCAUUUCCGAGAGCUCGAGUGAUUGUUAAUGGAGAACGACUUCCAUUGAAGCCCGGGGUAGGCGUGUUACAUGAAUCUGGCGCAGGCAGAAGCACAGGAAAUCACUCCCGCUGCGAGUGAGGUUGCAUAACUAUAGCGCAGAAGAUGCCUCUGUGGCGUGAGCUGCUCGGGACGGAGGCGGAACGAGCACUGAAUAGGCAGCUGUCACGUUUGCAUUGUCAGAGGACAAUGUAUGCGUUCAUCUCAGAAGGUUUUUGCACGGGAACCUGCUGGGGUUGCGGGAUGGAAUAUCGGGUCUCCUGCACCAGAGGACUCUAAUGAUGGAGUAUGGGGUCUCCUGCACCAGAGGACCCCAAGCCCCUCGCUCCGCAAUUCUCUUCUCUCUCCUCUACCUAGAAAGCCAGCCUCUGCAUGGUCCGGCCUGGGGGAAGGAGUCGCAAGCGCUCCAGGUUUUCUGAUGCAUCUCCCUAGGUAAUCGGUCUAGCUCAGUGCGCAAUGUUUUUCCUCUUCAUUCUCAGGUUUGUGCGACCUGCUAAUGAAGGUUGCUGCUCCUGCCACCUUGAGGGGGAGACUAAUUCCUGAGGAAGAAGAGAGUGGGAGAACCUCCCGCACAAGUUGGCACUCGUCUUCUGCCAUCCGUCUCCGGGAAGUUUCGGGAUUGCUGUUCUCAGGAGCACGUGCACUAACUAGUCUGUUAGCAGUGUUUUGAACAUAAUCUAUUGUAAGCUUUUGGAGACCAGUAAAAAGGCUGUUGCAGUGGUCUACAGAAGAGAACAAGUUGGGCACUGGUCAGAUGCUGGAGAGAAGAAGAUGGAUACAAAUAUAUGUAGGUGCAGAAUCCUCAAGGCUGCUUUAGCUCCUGGGAGGCCUGCGUUCCGGAAACUUGCAACUGGCUGGGGAGACAGAAAACCAAAAGGAAACAUUUAGAAAAUACAAGAUGUUAUAUGAAUACAUGCCAUGGCAAGCAAUAAAAAUAACUGCUGUUGCUUCCUCCAACAACACUAAUCUUAUUAGCGUUCUCAAAUACGUCCAUUUGGGAAUCCUGUGAUAAUAGCUUUAAUAUCUUUGUAUGAUAAAAUCUAAAAUGCACGCCACAUUGAAAAUUUCUGUUUAAAAUUAAUUUUAAACUUCAGUUCCGGUGACAUCUGGCCAGUUCUUACCUCACCAGAAAGAGAAAUUUUCAUUCUCUGUAAAGUUUAAAAUCCUAAGAGGACGCCGGCUUGUUUUCCUACUAGAGACCGCCACCCUCAGCGCCAAAGCUCUUUAUCGGGAAGCCCUAAAACACUUCACACCCUUAUCGUCUUCUGGGUCUUAGCCAAUCUUUGUUUAUUCCAGGUUUCCUUCCUUUGUUGGAUAUGCCAGUCUUCCUUCUGGGUCCCCUGCCAAACUGUGCCAAGGACUUUGAACAGUCUCUCUUUACUUGCCUUAUUGUCUUGGCUUAUUUUAAGUACAACUCCUGGUAUUUUCCAUAACGCCUUUUAGAAUUGAUGGGGGUGGGGGGGAAGAUUGCUUUCUAUGAUCCUAGAGCAUUUGGUCUAGUCUACAUCUUAGAAAUGCAGUUAUUCUUUUAUGUUUUAUUUUUUAAUUUGUAGUUAUUCUUGAUAUAUUCCAUGACACUAUUCUUAACUAUGUAUUUGCUUAAUGUCUAUAGUUUUGCAUUGUUCCCAAGUGUUUAUAGACCCCAAAUAUUCAUAUGUAUCAAAUUAUUUUUGUAUAAUAACUCGUAAAGUGAGAUAUCUGAUCGGUGCUUAUCAAAUAUGAUUUUAUAUGGUAAGAGUAAUUUAUUACUCCAAAAUGACAACUUUUAAUUUCUGUUUUCAAUGUAUGUCUCUGGAGCUCGUAUCUGUUCAAAUGUAUAAAUGACAUUAGAGAUUUUGCCAAGCUUUCAUUCAAAUCCAUAAAUUCUAACUAUGUGUGAUUGUAGUUUCUUUUCUUUUCGUAUAUCUGCAAUGUCAAAUUUCAGUGGAAAUCACUUGAAAUGUAGCUUAUUUAAUUCUAAUAAUAAUUAUUUCUUGUUUGUGUUUUUUUAUCACCUUCA